UUGAAAAAAUGAAAUAGAUGGAUAAAUCAUGUAUAAUAAAUACUGGAAUAUUCCAUAAAAAAAUAAGAGUUGUUCAUUUUGAUUUCAUGGUGACUUUAAAGCAUAGCUGAACAUAUAGGUGCUUCUCAGUCUUAAAGUUAACAUGUGCUCUUGCUCCUCAAGCCUUGUCUUAAAUAAUUUUCCAUUUUUAAGUCUAGAUACUCAAUCCUUCAGCACACAUACUGUAUUCUACUGUACAACAGGCUCCAGCACACCUGAGUCUAUUUCAAUACCUCACCAACAUGAAUGUUACUCUUUGUCUGCCUCUGUAUGACUUCCUUCUGAGUGACCAGAAACACUUUAUCAUCACAUUAUUCUCUCUUUUAAAUUGUGUGCUUCACAUUUCACUGACCACACCCACAGUAUUAGUACACAACAGAACUUCAGUCGGUGCGUUCAUUUACUCCUGAUUAAUAUACUGGAUAUGACCACAGUUUCAUUCACAUUAAGGCAAUAUUCAGGUACAGUUUUUUAAUAAAUCCAACUGUAUUAUAAAUACAAUCUACCUCUGGACUGCCAACAUGGAGAGACAUAUGCUGCUCAUGAUUCUCAUUGUAGUUACAGGUGGAUUUGCUGACAGAAUUGGACCAGGAGAAGGAAAUACUAAUAUAAUGAAGGGAGAAGGAGAGUCUGUGACACUGAGAUGUUCAUAUGAUACAAGCAGCAAUAAUGUUUGGCUUUACUGGUUCAGACAGUAUCCUAAAGGAGAACCUCAGUAUUUACUAUGGAAAGGUGCUCGAUCAGAGAGUGGUUAUGAGAAUAUACCAGACCGUCGGUUUCAGUCAACAACAUCCCAAUCAUCCACUGAACUCAUUAUUGAUAAAGCAGCUCUGUCAGAUUCAGCUCUCUAUUAUUGUGCUCUAAGAGUUUUAGCCCAGUGAUACAAAAUGCCUGAGAAGCUUUACAAAAACUCAAAUACACAAUGUGCUUUAAACAGUCUUUAAUCUAACAGCAUCA
Molecule: non-coding RNA, 996 nt
Organism: Megalobrama amblycephala (Wuchang bream)
Lineage: Eukaryota; Metazoa; Chordata; Actinopteri; Cypriniformes; Xenocyprididae
Source: the annotation of a RefSeq genome assembly